UUGUAUAUUUGAGGUGCGCGAUUCAUGCCAUAGCUACGGUAGUAGUGUUGCGAUCACUGAAAAGAGUGGAGAGACUCACUCUAGUAAACAAUGGAGAUGAUAUUAGGAUUAAUGUCUUUACAAAAGUAAAUUUAAGAAAUAUGAAAUUUACAGUGUAUGUUUGAAAAUAUGCACUGAUGAAAUGUAUAAAGAGUUAAUUGGCCUCUAUUCUAAACUUUGAAUAAAAUGAGUUCUUCAAAUUAGUACAUCACCGGUCCUUCACAGUUCUACUAAGUACUUCAUGGACUACUACCACAGCAAAUAUCAACCUAUUUCACUGUAUAGUUUUGGAGGAAUAUAUUAGUAAACUGUCUUACAGUCAGUUGAUUUGAUAUCAAUAGCUGAACUUUGAUCUUCAAUAAAAUGAGUUCUGCAAAUAGGUACAUCACCGUUCCUUUACAGUUCUAUUUAGUACUUCACGGUGUUAAGUGCCAAUAGGUGGCCCUGUUUCUUUUGUGCAUGUGUGUGUGUCCUGUCCUCUGUGUGCAGUUCGGGGGCGGCGUGACGUCAUCCAUUUACACCUGUGCCGCCGUGUCUAUAAAGGAAAACCCACCUGGAUGCAGGAAGAGGAGGACACACGGACAGAGAGAGAUGGAGAGAAACAGCUGACAGCAGAGAGAGCGCAGCGGUGGCGUGUGUCACGCCGGUGAAUUGUGUAGUGAGUGGGAGGAAAGUAAGCGAAUGGUCAGGAGCCCCUUCACACUGCACCACGUAGCUUUGCUCAGUGUUAAAGACACUGGGCGAAGCAGUGGUGUCCCCUUCUGUGUUUGUAGUGUUAGGUAGAAUUGUCCUUAAUGUUUUCUUAGCAUUGCCUACUGUAGGUUAGAUUUAGAGUUAGCUUUGUGCUUGUAUUAAGUCCUUUGAUUUGGCACCACCGGGCAGUCAUCCUUUCCUGUGAUAUCUGUGUGGGGAAAAGAAGGAGUGAAUACAACAUCUUGGUUGAACUUUCCAAGGUGUUUCAAAACGUCAGCGCUACUAAACAAGCCCAGAAAGGAAACGGGCUGGAAUCUAAUUUAAUUAACUCGAUCACAAAUAGUGAGUCAAUUAAGGAUGGUUGGUGCUCUGUCCAGGCUGUCAGUGAACUGUAGGAGCUUCACCAUGGACCUGCACAAAGCUGCUUUUCUCUUGGUAGCUGUGAUCAGCACUGUGGGUUCCACCGUCGUCCCAGAGGUGACUUGUGUUGUGGGUGAAGGCGAUACGUACAGAGGCAAGAUUUCCUGGACGUGGUCUGGAAAAACCUGCCAGCGUUGGUCUUCUCAGACGCCACAUCAGCACAGCCGGACCACCAGCAACUACCCCAACAAAGGCCUAGAAAGCAACUACUGCCGUAACCCUGACGGCACAGAGUUGCCCUGGUGCUACACCACCGACCCCGACACCCGCUGGCAGUACUGCAGCGUGCCGAGAUGCGUGAACUCCCCUGGACCAGAGGAGUGCAUGCUCUACAACGGUGAGAGCUACAGAGGGAAAAUCCACACCACCCAAAACGGCGUCACCUGCCAGCGCUGGGACUCCCAGACUCCUCACAAGCAUGACUACACCCCCAGCGCACACCCAGAGAAGCCUCUGGAAGAAAACUACUGCAGGAACCUGGGUGGAGAGCCCCGGCCUUGGUGCUUCACCACCAACCCAUCCAAGCGAUGGGACUACUGCGCUGUACCUCUCUGCUUAAAUCCCACCGUUGUGUCACACCUGACCUGUGCCAACGGUGACGGUGAAGCGUACAGAGGCUCGAUUUCCUGGACGUGGUCUGGAAAAACCUGCCAGAGUUGGUCAUCUCAGACGCCCCAUCAGCACAGCCGGACCACCAGCAACUACCCCAACAAAGGCCUAGAAAGCAACUACUGCCGUAACCCUGACGGCACAGAGUUGCCCUGGUGCUACACCACCGACCCCGACACCCGCUGGCAGUACUGCAGCGUGCCGAGAUGCGUGAACUCCCCUGGACCAGAGGAGUGUAUUCACUGCAAUGGUCUGGACUACAAAGGAAAGAUCCACACCACCCAAAACGGCUUUACCUGCCAACGCUGGGACUCCCAGACUCCCCAUGAGCACAGCUACAGCCCCAGCGCACAUCCAGAGAAGAAUCUGGAGGAAAACUACUGCAGGAACCCCAGUGGAGACCCCCAACCUUGGUGCUUCACCACGGACCCAUCCAAACGAUGGGACUUCUGUUCUGUUCCUCGCUGCACAUCUGAGCCUCCCACCAUCGUCCCAGAGCAGAUCUGUACCACUGGUAGAGGCCAAGCGUACAGAGGAACGAUUGCAGUGACAGAAUCUGGAAGAACGUGUCAGAGCUGGUCGUCUCAGACGCCGCACCAACACAACCGCACCCCAGAGAACUACCCCUGCAAUGACCUAGACAACAACUACUGUCGUAACCCUGACAACGAGAAGAGGCCCUGGUGCUACACCACCGACCCUGACUCUCGCUGGGAGUACUGCAACGUGCCGAGCUGUGAAAAUUAACCCGAACAAGAAACUGUUAUCAGAUAGUUAAUAAUGCACAGAUGUCCAGGACUAAAUAUGACAAGAGACUGUGACCCCUCAGGACAUUCCUGGGUUCAACCCUUGGACCUAAACUCACGUCUUUUUUGUGAUGUACUGCCUACGAACGCAGGCGACUCACUGGAAACAGUUUUCUUUAAAAGCUGCUUGACAUUGAAUAAACUACAAUACUUGUUUAAUGAGCAAAAAUAUGCCUAAUGUACAUUUGAAUGAAUUGCUUAUAGAACCAACAUACUGUAUAUUGAUGUCAUUUUGAAACACUAUGCAAAGAAAACCAUGAUGUUGUUAAUUUGUUCAGUGCAUUGUGAUAAUAAAUACAAUUUGUCUACUG
RNA transcript from Betta splendens (Siamese fighting fish), 2878 nucleotides. It is a transcript of the gene named plasminogen-like, with no coding region annotated. The record is from RefSeq and is a predicted model, not a curated record. The transcript is spliced from 14 exons. Lineage: Eukaryota; Metazoa; Chordata; Actinopteri; Anabantiformes; Osphronemidae.